CCUCGGAUCAGGUAGGGAUACCCGCUGAACUUAAGCAUAUCAAU
Molecule: ribosomal RNA, 44 nt
Filed under: Aspergillus niveus
Lineage: Eukaryota; Fungi; Ascomycota; Eurotiomycetes; Eurotiales; Aspergillaceae
Also listed under: 1 other name
Description: partial 28S ribosomal RNA
Source: RNAcentral